RNAcentral lists this ribosomal RNA (279 nucleotides) under uncultured Anoxybacillus sp. RNAcentral's name for it is "partial 16S ribosomal RNA". It matches the Rfam family "Bacterial small subunit ribosomal RNA", at positions 1098 to 1382 of the family's 1533-position model. Lineage: Bacteria; Bacillati; Bacillota; Bacilli; Caryophanales; Anoxybacillaceae. The record is from RNAcentral.
ACCACCGCUACUUGUCACGACAUUCAGUUGGGCACUCUAAGGUGACUGCCGGCUAAAAGUCGGAGGAAGGUGGGGAUGACGUCAAAUCAUCAUGCCCCUUAUGACCUGGGCUACACACGUGCUACAAUGGGCGGUACAAAGGGUCGCGAACCCGCGAGGGGGAGCCAAUCCCAAAAAGCCGCUCUCAGUUCGGAUUGCAGGCUGCAACUCGCCUGCAUGAAGCCGGAAUCGCUAGUAAUCGCGGAUCAGCAUGCCGCGGUGAAUACGUUCCCGGGCCUU